AGUGCCAAGGCCGGUGUGAGUGCCAAGCACUAGGAGAAGGACCCUGACCCUGCAAGUCCAAUCCUUGGGGGUCUAGGAGGGAAGAAGCCCCUGGCUGUGUGACCUUAGGCUGGUGCCUGGCCCUCUCUGGCUCUGAGUUUCUGGGAAAGUCAGCACCCAAGGAACGCCCUCCAGUUUAGCACCUUGACAAGAAAGCCUCGUGCCCUCAACCCCAGAACCCUGGUCUGAGUCCUGGGUCACCCAGGACCACCCUGGACCCACUGGAAUUCGUCCAGCACCACUUGGUCAAAGUUCUGCAGAGAUCUGAGGACAAGGGUCAGCUGGGGGUCAGGAGAGGAUGAAGAGGGUCACAGCUCUACCAGACGAAGCCUCAUUCCUUGUGGCGCCCGGCCCACCCCUCUGAUGUGGGCCCUAAACCUCCGGCUGGCCCAGCCCUGCAGAGAACUGAGUCCCAGAGGAGGUGCAGGUGGAGUCAUUGAAGCAACACUGCAGCUGGACCUGGGUCUGAGUCCCUGCUCCUGGCUGUGAGAUGCGCCUCUCCCUCUGUUUAUUCAUCUGAAGGAUAGGGCUGUGCUGUUCUGGGUUUGCUGUGACAAUUGAACUGGCCUCUGUGAGUUGGUGGUGGCCUCCUGAGAUGGCUUGAGGUGAGCUGGAGGUGUGUAUUGAAUGCCCCCUCGCACCCACGGGGAAGACCCACUUAAGGAA
RNAcentral lists this long non-coding RNA (705 nucleotides) under Macaca mulatta (Rhesus monkey). RNAcentral's name for it is "lncRNA (ENSMMUG00000057880.1)". Lineage: Eukaryota; Metazoa; Chordata; Mammalia; Primates; Cercopithecidae. The record is from RNAcentral.